Molecule: ribosomal RNA, 650 nt
Filed under: uncultured bacterium
Lineage: Bacteria
Description: bacterial SSU rRNA
Rfam family: Bacterial small subunit ribosomal RNA
Source: RNAcentral
GAGUUUGAUCCUGGCUCAGAACGAACGCUGGCGGCAGGCUUAACACAUGCAAGUCGAGCGCCCCGCAAGGGGAGCGGCAGACGGGUGAGUAACGCGUGGGAAUCUACCCAACCCUACGGAAUAACGCAUGGAAACGUGUGCUAAUACCGUAUACGCCCUAAGGGGGAAAGAUUUAUCGGGGAUGGAUGAGCCCGCGUUGGAUUAGCUAGUUGGUGGGGUAAAGGCCUACCAAGGCGACGAUCCAUAGCUGGUCUGAGAGGAUGAUCAGCCACAUUGGGACUGAGACACGGCCCAAACUCCUACGGGAGGCAGCAGUGGGGAAUAUUGGACAAUGGGCGCAAGCCUGAUCCAGCCAUGCCGCGUGAGUGAUGAAGGUCUUAGGAUUGUAAAGCUCUUUCACCGGAGAAGAUAAUGACGGUAUCCGGAGAAGAAGCCCCGGCUAACUUCGUGCCAGCAGCCGCGGUAAUACGAAGGGGGCUAGCGUUGUUCGGAAUUACUGGGCGUAAAGCGCACGUAGGCGGAUAUUUAAGUCAGGGGUGAAAUCCCAGAGCUCAACUCUGGAACUGCCUUUGAUACUGGGUAUCUCGAGUAUGGAAGAGGUGAGUGGAAUUCCGAGUGUAGAGGUGAAAUUCGUAGAUAUUCGGAGGAAC